UUGAGACCUGCUACCUAAGACUUCCCCAAAAUCCAUGAAGGUGAUCACUCAGAGCACAUGUUUUUUAAAAAGGCAUAUUCUCAGGCUUCUCCCAGAUCUUCUGAAUCAAAAUUUCAAGGGGUCCUGGCAACCUCUAUAUUUAGCGAGCAAUAAGAGCAAUGUGGACACGUUAUGCCAGUGAAAAGUUUGUCGAUUAGCUCCUUUUCUACUGGAUAAUCAUAUCCAGCAAUGCUUCUGGACAGCACAGGCAAAUCAGCUCAAGGAGGGGAAGCACCCUCCUCAGACGCCCACAGGUCAGCCAAGUGAAUAGCUGAGUCAUGAGAUGCUUCCACACUCAGUCAUUCAACCUCUCUGUGGAUUCCCAAGUUUUCUGGAAGUUCUCGCUGAUCUCGGGGAUUCUCAAUGGGUUUGGAGAAGCCAAGCCCCCAGUCAAGGUGACCUCCAGCCAUGGAAGGAUCCCCCUGAACAUAUCUAAAGAGAACUCUCCUUUCUG
Molecule: long non-coding RNA, 493 nt
Filed under: Homo sapiens (human)
Lineage: Eukaryota; Metazoa; Chordata; Mammalia; Primates; Hominidae
Description: HSALNT0366293
Source: RNAcentral